This 813-nucleotide ribosomal RNA is filed under the name uncultured bacterium. RNAcentral describes it as "bacterial SSU rRNA". It matches the Rfam family "Bacterial small subunit ribosomal RNA", at positions 8 to 804 of the family's 1533-position model. The record is from RNAcentral.
AGAGUUUGAUCCUGGCUCAGGAUGAACGCUGGCGGCGUGCCUAAUACAUGCAAGUAGAACGCUGAAGCUUGGUGCUUGCACCGAGCGGAUGAGUUGCGAACGGGUGAGUAACGCGUAGGUAACCUGCCUCUUAGCGGGGGAUAACUAUUGGAAACGAUAGCUAAUACCGCAUAAAAGUCGAUAUCGCAUGAUGUUGACUUGAAAGGUGCAAUUGCAUCACUAAGAGAUGGACCUGCGUUGUAUUAGCUAGUUGGUGAGGUAACGGCUCACCAAGGCGACGAUACAUAGCCGACCUGAGAGGGUGAUCGGCCACACUGGGACUGAGACACGGCCCAGACUCCUACGGGAGGCAGCAGUAGGGAAUCUUCGGCAAUGGGGGCAACCCUGACCGAGCAACGCCGCGUGAGUGAAGAAGGUUUUCGGAUCGUAAAGCUCUGUUGUAAGAGAAGAACGAGUGUGAGAGUGGAAAGUUCACACUGUGACGGUAACUUACCAGAAAGGGACGGCUAACUACGUGCCAGCAGCCGCGGUAAUACGUAGGUCCCGAGCGUUAUCCGGAUUUAUUGGGCGUAAAGCGAGCGCAGGCGGUUAGAUAAGUCUGAAGUUAAAGGCUGUGGCUUAACCGUAGUACGCUUUGGAAACUGUUUAACUUGAGUGCAGAAGGGGAGAGUGGAAUUCCAUGUGUAGCGGUGAAAUGCGUAGAUAUAUGGAGGAACACCGGUGGCGAAAGCGGCUCUCUGGUCUGUAACUGACGCUGAGGCUCGAAAGCGUGGGGAGCAAACAGAAUUAGAUACCCUGGUAGUCCACGCCGUA